This 112-nucleotide small nuclear RNA is filed under the name Lottia gigantea (owl limpet). RNAcentral's name for it is "U2 spliceosomal RNA". It matches the Rfam family "U2 spliceosomal RNA". Rfam says of the family: U2 is a small nuclear RNA (snRNA) component of the spliceosome (involved in pre-mRNA splicing). Complementary binding between U2 snRNA (in an area lying towards the 5' end but 3' to hairpin I) and the branchpoint sequence (BPS) of the intron results the bulging out of an unpaired adenosine, on the BPS, which initiates a nucleophilic attack at the intronic 5' splice site, thus starting the first of two transesterification reactions that mediate splicing. Lineage: Eukaryota; Metazoa; Mollusca; Gastropoda; Lottiidae. The record is from Rfam by way of RNAcentral.
AUCGCUUCUCGGCCUUUUGGCUAAGAUCAAAGUGUAGUAUCUGUUCUUAUCAGCUUAAUAUCUGAUACGUACCCCAUCGGCUUGAAUGACUAGUAUACUCACUUAACUUGAU